AAACGUAGUCAAAUCCUCGGAUUUCGAGAAUUCACUUCCCUUACAUUCUCCCCACCUUAAAAGAGUUUCGUCCUCGAAACGAACUCAAUAACACUAAAUUCAUCCAGAACUUAAACUCUAGAUCCAUACCUCAGCUCAAUCUUCAAAUAAGUGAGGAUGAUGCAUCUUCAUCUCGCUCUCGAGCUCCCAAGUGGCUUCGCGAUCACUAUGAUUGCUCCACCGAACUCUAACAUAAGGGAUCUCGGAACUUCUCAACUUGCGCACUUCUCGAGCUAGAAUCUCCACCGAAAACUCUUCGUAACUCACAUCUUCUUGCAAUUCCGGUGGCUCAUAGACCAAGACGUGCUCCGGAUCAUGCACAUACUUGCGGAGAUUGGAGACGUGGAAUACAUUGUGCACACCCGCAAGCUUCGGGGGCAAUGCAAUUCGGUAUGCCACCGUCCCAAUUCGCUCCAAAACCUCGUAGGGGCCAAUGUAACGAGGACUCAACUUCCCUCGCACCCCAAAUCUCUUCACACCCCUCAUCGGCGAAACCUUCAAGAACACGCGGUCACCUACCGCGAACUCCAGAUCUCUAUGGCGCUUAUCGGAAUAACACUUUUGUCGAGACUGCGCCGUGAGCAAUCUCUUGCGAGCAAGGUGGACUUUCUCCUCCGCCUCUCGCAACACGUCGGGACCGAAUUCUACUCGCUCGCCCACAUCACUCCAAUGAAUAGGAGACCAGCACUUCCGCCCAUAAAGAGCCUCGAACGGUGCCAUUCCCACACUCGCAUGAUAACUGUUGUUGUAGGCGAACUCGGCCAUCGGCAGGUGCUUACACCAACUCCCCUUAUAAUCAAUGGCACACGCCCAUAACAUAUCCUCCAGGGUUUGAAUGGUUCUGUCACGCCCCCGACCGCACGACCCGAAGACGGUACCAAUUUGGUCCGGUUCGAGGGCGGCGGGCGUGAGGCCGAACGGACAGAGUCUCCCCUGUCCGCCCAAGGCUCCAACGACGAGACUGUGUACAACAAGUUCCCAAGAAAACAACUUGAAUACAUACACAAUCAUUCAAUAACAACGAAAGCACAACCAGUGCUAUACAAUACGAGAGCAAGCAUCACGAGUAAUACAAUCAUACAAGUGAAUAAAAGAGAGAUACUUAACUAUUAAGCUCAUUUAACUUUAUACAAUUAUUUUCUUUUAACUUGAAUACUUUGAUUACAUUCAUUCAAGUUUAUGUACAACCACUCUCCAAACCUCACCCUAUACAACAUCUACUCUCAAAAUAUAAAGCAUAGGGUGGAGCUAAUGCAAGGGGAAAGUAAAGCUAUCUACCAGUACCACGCCGCUAGGGCGCUACGCCCUUGCCGCGAUCCUCACCGGGGGCGCUCGAGCUCGGACCUAUAACAUGGUGGAGUGAGAACUACGAAUAGUUCCCAGUGGGUUCGGCCGCCGACUCCGCCGAUCUCCCCACUAGGUCUAAGCAGGCACAGAUAGAUAUGCAGAUAGAUAGAUAUAUGGAAACGAAAGCAUAUUCAAUAAUGAGCAUCUAUGAACUAGAAUCUAUCAAUGCCUCAAUCCAACGUAAUGCAUGCAUGGAACUCAUAGUAAGAUGGCCAGCUAUCGACUACUAUGUUCAACAAAUGAGUUAUUCAUCUGAUUACCCAAUCUCUCGGCGAACCCAGGGCUCGCUCACGGUCUCACGUGUAUCAAUCUCAUAGGGAAGGAGGCUAGCUAUCACCUACCCCGAGACCGCCUGCGGACACUACACUGGUCCAAGGGCACUACACUGGCCCCCUCGCGUGCCAAACUCCGGAGUGCACUACCUGUGAGGCGCUACCACCACAGGUGCAGACAAGCUAAGUGAGCUCGAUCCAAUCUCAUGAACUGGGAACAUCCUAACCAACUAGGAUUGGUGUCACUGAAGCAUCGGUGUUCAUCUGCUCAAUCUCAUAGUGUCUCAACUACACUAAGGUUCUCAAGUUCAAUGUCAACUAGAUGCCACUCGUUCUGGGUUCAUUGUUAACUAGAUGCCACUCGUUCUUAUUACACUAGUUUACAAUAUACAAGGUCCUAUUCACAUAGACAUAUUCAUCACAUAUAGGGUUAACUACCUCAUAGUGUUCAAUUCAUGCAUACUAGGUUCUCAUCCAUUGUAUUCACAACCCAAACUAUCACUAGCAUGCAAGGAUAUGCACAAUUACAUUUAACACCCUAUAAUGCUAUAUUACAGUAUGGAAUUGAUCGACAUAAUAACCCAGACAUAGAAAGCAGCUCGACUGCUUCGGGAUGGCACUCCCCCACCUUGUGGUGAUGCUGUGCGGUUAGACAACUCGACGUCGCGGUCCACGUACGUCGCUUCACACCUCAGGGCAAAGCGAGCCCUCAAGUACUUGUUUUGGCGAUAACUCCGCACCCGCUCGUUGGAUCGGCGAACCGUCUUCGCCGACGCGUUCGGAGACCUAGCAAUUAGGUUUGCGAUCCAUCAACAUAGAUCAAAACCCUAGAUUUGCUAAAAUCCCAAAUCGGAGCCCUAGGUCUCAACAACAGAGAAAUCCGAGGUGCGAGCUUCAAAUUCGAGCUCGAACCAACACUGAAGCUCCAAUAGGUUCCAUUCGAACCAUCUCUAACGAUUAAAACCCUAGCUUACAAAAUCCACCAUCAAAGGGUUUGAGGCUUACCUCAAUAACCAAGCUCCAAGCGUAAGAGAGGGAGAGAAGAAGAUGUCUUCUUCUUCUUAGUCCUCUCCUUCUCUUUCUUCUUCUUUCUCCUCUUCCUUUCCUUCCUCUCCUUCUUCUUCUCCUUCUUUUUCCUUCUAGAGAGAGAGAGCAAAGAGAGUGAGAGGGGGAGAAAGCAACUGAGAGGGAGAGAGGGGUCCCCCACCUCUAAUAAAGGCCAUUUUGCAGAUAGCCCCCUCAACUUUUCAUCCAGUACACAGCCCUCACUGGGCUGUUUUCGCAGCGAGGGACCGGUCCCAGGUCGGGGAGACCGGUCCCCGAAGGCCACCCAUUCGGGCAGAGGGGAUUUCGCGUUCGGGAACCGGUCCCUGUCUGAGAGACCGGUCCCCGGGAGACCGGUCCUUGCCUGAGAGACCGGUUCCCGAGAGCAGCAUUUUCGGGACUUAGCCAAAUUUCGGCUAAUCGCGCGGGGCCAACGUUCGGGAACCGGUCCCUGCCUGCCAGAGACCGGUUAAACCGAGGAACCCCGCCAGCCCAGCCUGAUGGGACCGGUCCCUCCCUGCCAGGGACCGGUCCCUGAGAGCAAAUUCUGCUCCAGUGCAGAUUUUGCGCUGCAGCUCUCGCGGACCCUUCCUCAAUGUACUCUAGGCAUUUUAAUCAGCUUCGGGCUUUCCAAAGCCCGUACCCUCGACAAACAGUCGAUUCUGAGUGAAGUCCAAUCCUCGGCCUUCGAGAAUUUUCUUUCUCACAGGUUCUUUCGGUCUGCCCAUCGGUCUGAGGAUGAAAAGCGGUACUAAACUCGAGCCGCGUGCCAAGGGCUUCUUGCAGGCUUCUCCAAAAGUGUGAAGUGAACUUGGGGUCUCGAUCUGACACAAUCGACUUCGGCACCCCGUGCAACCUCACCACCUCGUCAAGAUAUACCUGCGCGAGCUUCUCACCUGCCCAAGUAUUGUGGAUCGGCAGAAAGUGCGCCGCUUUCGUCAGACGAUCCACAAUUUCCCAAAUUGCAUCGUGGCCACCCGUUGAACGAGGUAAGCCGACGAUAAAGUCCAUCGAUAUAUCCUCCCAUUUCCAGACGGGAAUAGAUAAACUCUGAAGCUUCCCCGCUGGAAACCGUCGCUCCGCUUUCACCUAUUGGCAUACCAAACACUUCGCCACGAAGCGCCCAAUAUCAGCUUUCAUUCCCGGCCACCAAUAUAGUGUCUUCAACUCGUGAAACAUCUUGGUGCCGCCCGGGUGGUCGGCAUAAGGAGACCAAUGCGCUUCUUGCAAAAUCAGCUUGCGAAGCUCCUCGUCGUUUGGCACACACCACCGGUUUCGAAACCGUAGUGCACCACUAGCAUCCACGCCGAAAUCUCCGCCAUGGCCACUCUCGACAUCGUGCCACACCUUUUGGAGACUCGGGUCCGCGGAUUGCAGACUCUUAAUCCUCUCCAACAAGGUCGGUUGGAUUACCAACGUCAUCAACCUAGUCGGAAUUUCUAGAGCCACCACCUCAAGAUCCAUCUUUCCCAUUUGCAACCAUAGGGGCGUCUGAUUUGUAACCCACAAGGCGAGGUUCUCCGCCGACUUCCGACUAAGCGCGUCCGCGACUACAUUCGCUUUCCCGGGGUGGUAAAGGAUAUCGACAUCGUAAUCCUUAAGCAAUUCCAACCACCGCCGUUGCCGCAUGUUCAGCUCCUUCUGGGUAAACAAAUACUUCAAGCUUUUAUGGUCGGUGUAGAUCUCACAAUGAGCACCAUACAGGUAGAGUCUCCAAAGCUUCAAAGCAAAGAUCACCGCUGCCAAUUCUAAAUCAUGUAUGGGGUAGUUCCUCUCGCAGCUCUUCAACUGACGGGAUGCAUAGGCAAUCACUCUCCCGCCUUGCAUCAGCACACACCCCAAACCCAGAUAGGACGCAUCACUAUAAACCACGUAAUCUUCACCCUGCACCGGUAAGGCUAGUACCGGAGUCGAAGUUAAUCUCUCCUUCAACUCUUUAAAACUCCGGUCGCACUCGUCGCUCCAAAUGAAUCUGGUGCCCUUCUGCGUCAGACGGGUGAGUGGAGUCACGAUCUUUGAGAAUCCCUCCACAAACCGUCGAUAAUAGCCCGCUAAGCCCACAAAGCUUCGGACUUCCGCAACAUUCGUCGGGCGCGGCCAACUCUCAACAGCCUCUACUUUCCUCGGGUCCACAGAAACACCGCCUUCAGAAAUAACAUGCCCGAGAAAAGCGACUUCUCGGAGCCAGAAGUCACACUUCUUCAACGUUGCGUACAACUUCUUCUCCCGAAGGAUUUGAAGUACAAUGCGCAAAUGCUCCGCAUGCUCCCCUUCAUUACGGGAAUAGACCAAGAUGUCGUCUAUGAAGACUACGACAAAUCGGUCUAGACACUCCCUGAACACUCGGUUCAUCAAGCUCAUGAACGCAGCCGGGGCAUUUGUAAGCCCAAACGGCAUCACAGUGAACUCGUAGUGUAAUAGACUGAAAAUUGCUUAUAAGCUAAUUGUGAUUAAAGUAGUCACAAUAAUGCUAAAAUGGAAAGUAAGCAUUUCUGAACCCGAUUAGUAGCUUGAGAACAUCCAUUGGUAGGUUUUGGAUGUGUGACAAGAGACAUGAAUGAAAUCGAAGCAACAAAAGAACUCCAAUUGCCAUUUGAGUCGAAAACUGAAAUUUUUAGUCAAUUGGUCAAAAAUGACCACAUUGAUGCAAAAUUGAGAACUAAUUGCUCCCAAAUCAAUUUGAUAGAUUGGGAAGCUUCUUUGGAUAAGUUUAAAUGUGUUAGAAUGGAAUUGGAGUGACUCGAAUAAGAGGAAUAAGAAUAGGAACCUCUGUUGCUGAAAUGCUGAAAUUUUAGUUAACUUGAUCAAAAGUGAUCAAAUUAAUGCAAAUUUGAGAAUUAAAAGUUACCAAAUUAAUUUGGUAGCUUGGGAAGUUCAUUUGGAAUGUUUUUGAAGUGUUGGAAUGAAAAAGGAAUGAGUUAAAUCAAAGGAAAAGAGAAUCGAAGCAGCUGCUGUUCCUGCUGCUGCUGUUGCUGCUGGUGCACUGUGUACCGGUACAACAAGUAGCCUGUACCGGUACAGCAGUUACGGGCAGCACUUGUCCACUAAUGCAAUUUCAGCAUUUUGAGGGGCCAAAGUGCAAUUGUAUGGUCUUAUCUCUUCACCCUUAGUGGAAUACACAUGCCCAGAUGCUGAAGAGUCAUUUCCCUCCAUUCCUUAUCAUCUAAUUNACAGAUAGAUAGAUAGAUAGAUAUAUGAAAAUAAACUGCUACUAUAUCUACUAUGCCACCAAAUGCAAGGAAUGCAUGCAACAUCAUUUAUCAUGCUAGUAUGCUUCAACGAUGUAAUGAAUACAAAUGCAACAUGGUUAUGUAAUCCUCUAACAUAUACUAUGUCUAAUCAGGGUAUGAAUGCAAAUCCACUUAUGCUAUUCAUGUCAUUACCCAAACCACUAGGCUACCCCGCCUAAGAUCUCAAAUCUCAUAGGUACUCACACUACAAUCUAGUAAGUGAAGAGGUGAAGAGCUACCUCGCUCUUCGCCCCGACUGAUAUCUCAAAUCUCAUAGGUGAGGAGCUACCCCGCUCUUAUCUCACCCGUCUCACAUCUCAAAGGUCAUAGAUGAAGAGCUACCCCGCUCUAAUCUCAUAGAUAAUGAGCUGCCCCGCUCAAUCUCAAAGGUCAAGAGCUACCCCGCUCGUAGGUAAAGAGCUACCCCGCUCGUAGGUAAAGAGCUACCCCGCUCUAAUCUCACAGGUGAAGAGCUACCCCGCCCUUCGCCCGACUCACUUCCCAGUCCAAUGGGUGGGGAGCUACCCCGCUCGUAACCCACCCGAUGAGCUACCCCGCUCGUGAGCUACCCCGCUCGUGUGACAACUCCGGAGUGCACUGCUUGUGGGGAGCGACCGCCACAAGCCCAAAACAGACUAUGUGACCUGUCAACUAGGUUAACAAUCACUUGAUAAUCCACCUAUCCCUAGGUCCAUGUCAAGUGUCUCAACCAUAUCAAAUCUCGAUGCCACUCACCUAGGUCUAAGCAACUCUAGGUUCCACAACACUAGGUUUAAUGUCAACCUAUGUUUAACAACAUUAUAUUAAUGCCACUCGAUCUAUCCUAGGUUCACGACACUAGGUUUAGAUGCCACAUAAUCUCCAUAAUUAACAAUAGGUUAACAUUCAUUUCAUCUAGCAUAUAUGUUCUAUAAAGCCAACAUGCAUCAUAAUGCUAAUAUGCCAUUAUCAACUAGCAUGCAAAUCCGUUCAUAAUGCUACAUGCAUACAAUCUCCAUUACACUAGUUCACAUGUCACUAGUUUCAUUAUCAAGUCCAAGUUCUUUGUUUUUCUUUACAUUAUAGGAUCUCAUGUCCCAACCUUAAUCAUCAUACAUUCUAGAUUUAAGUGUCAAGUCUAUAUAAUACUACACAACUAGACAUGCAUGCAAGAAAAUAGGAAUGUAACUAUUCAUAUAUCCUAUAAUGCAUAAGAACCAUAUAUAUGAAAUAUGAUCAAAGAUCUAACUCGGACAUAGAAGGAAGCCCGAUUGCUUCGGAUAGACACCCCCCACCUUUUUACAGCGUUCCGAUUGCUCGUCGUCACUCGCAAUCGGCCUCCCGCGGCGCACGCCGCUCGGCUCGACCCUAUUCACGCGCGACCACCGAACGACCUCCGCUUCGCGAUCCGAGGAUUAUAGGUCUUCGGUUUUCUGUUACGAUGCUCGGGAUCCAAUCCCACAAUUUAUGGAAGCCGCCUCGACUCCCCAGGUCAAUACGAACUCACAAACACUUGAUUCAGCCGGAACGUCGCACCCGCUCGACGAAUCGACGAACCGUCGCUUCCUACGCGUUCGGAGACAUAACAAUUAGGUUUCUGACCACUCAAAAGAGAUCAAACCCAACUACUUACAAAAACCCCAUUUUUUAACCCUAGGUUUGCAAUUAGAUAAAAAUCCACCAUUAGUGUCACGACCCGCAACCACCCGCCUAUUUGGCCGAGGUCGCGGCGCCGCCGACAGACCGCCGAACGGACAGAGUCUCCCCUGUACGUCCUAGGCGUCGCAAUCAAUACAAGUACAAGAAGUUCCAACUAGGAACAGUAUUCAAGCAAGAUUGCAUAAGGAAGGUAUCAAACAACAUAACACAUCCUAUAUUAUUACACGCAUUCAUUAGAUUCAUUUUUACAUCAUAUUAGCAUUAUUACAUUACAUUUUCUUCCAAAUACAAUCAAUGAUCGCAAUAUUAAUACAAGUUUACUCUUUUUCUUUUCCCUCUACCCCUAGGCUAUGCCGACUCGGGGUACCUCUAUCUCUGGUCUCUGGGGUAGGGCGCUAUCUAUGGAGCUACGCCCUCGCCUUGCGCCGCCGCGCCACUCACGUGCGAACCUGUAAAACCCCAAAACAACGUGGGGUGAGAACCAACUCCAUGGUUCCCAGUGGGUACGGCCACCCAAGGGAAAAGCUCGACCAAUAGGUCUAAGGAGGCCCUGCAACAUGUUAGUCCAACAGAUAUCCAACAGAUAUAUAUAUUCAAGUAUUGAAAUACAUGUUGUGCCUCACAAAAUGCAAUAUGAAAUUCAUGCAGUUUAUGCAACCAUGCAACCAACUAGUAGUUCAAUCGAUACUACUUUUAUUCCUGUUAUUCACAGUUCAACCAAUUGACUUCUAAGUUUUCCUCUAUCUUAGAUUCUUGUCAAUUACAAUUCUGCUCAUAGGGUUUAACCUGCUUUUAUAAGCUAUCCACUCGACUCGGUCUUGAGUCAAUCAUACGCGGAAUACCGCACAAAGCCAGGCUCAAGGUGAAGGAUGUCUCACAUGCACCUCAGCCCUAAAUCCACUCAACUGGGAUGCAACUAAAACUCAUACCAUGCAUCAAAUAGUAAAGGUUUACUAUCAUGCUAACAAAUUCGAUCCAUGUUCGAAUAAUAAUGUUCAAUGGCAUUGUUCACUGUUCUUUUACCCAAUCUGUAGCGAAGCCCUAGGGUUCGCCAAUAACUCAUCUUUCAAUCCCAAAGUGGGGAGGGAGCUCCAAGUGCACCCAAGCCCGGGACCGUCUGCGGACCUCCAUGUGGUCCGGACCUCCAAGUGGUCCUAGUCGCACGACACUCCGGAGUACUCGACGACAAUCCCCUCCAUGUGGGGAUUGGAUGGCUAUACCAUCCCAAACGCAGACUGUGAGCUAGAUCUAUCCUCUCCAAGUGAGGAUACUCUACAACUAGGGUCCACAACCCAAUCAAAUCCUCUCCAAGUGAGGAUGCUCUACAACUAGAGUCAACGACCCAAUCAAAUCCUCUCCAAGUGAGGAUGCUCUACAACUAGAGUCAAUAUCUCAAUAACUCAUCGACCACCUCUCCAUGUGAGGGUACUUAGGUUCACUAAGUUCUUUAUACACAAGGCAUUUUCUAAGGGAUUCACCUAUCCCUAGGUUCUCAAACCUCUAGUGUCAAAUACACUACAUUAAUGCCACUCGAUGUGUUUUUGUUUUCCAAUGUCAAUUUCUCUAAUCGACCAAGUUCAACAUGCAUAAUCCAUCCACUAUGUUCCACAAUAUGGCAACAUGUAUAAUUCUUCUAUCAUAUGCAAUAUAUGUCAUCAUGUAUAUGUUUCUAUUUAACAUAAUCCACAAUAUGUUAAUUCACAACAUGUCAUCAUGCACAUAUAUUACUAGCAUCACAUGAUAUGUCAACAUACAUAUAAUCAUCAUCCAAAGUAGUCUAUACUUGGCAUCUCAUGCAUUCUUUUAGCAUUUAAUUCAUUAUACAUUUCAUCUCAUUGGUAGGUAAUAUCAACUAUAUAAUAUGUUCUAAGCAUUCAUAUUAUCUUGUAAGCCUACCAAUACAACUAUAUGCAUCAAUGUGAACUCGUAUGUUUCUUAAACAUAAAGGGCGACCUAGUCGCUUCGGUAAGCACAACCCACCUCAUUUUGCAUUCCGAUUGCUUGUCGACACUUGCAAUCGGCCUUCCGCGGCACCCGGUACCCGGUUUGGCCCGAUCUCUCGCGCGACCACCCGAACGGCCUCCAAUCCACGAUCCGAAAAUUAAAGGUCUUCGGUUAUGUGCCACGAUGCUUCAAAUCCAUUUUCAUGAAUUUACGAUGUCGCCUCGGCCCUCCCGGCGGACCCGAAGCCUAAACGUCCAUUUCUUUAAUAACUUUGUAACGGCUCGUCGGAUUGCCGAACCGUCUUCGCCAACGCGUUUCGUUACCUCAAUGUGAACGCCGCGACGAAAAUACGCCGCUCCAACGGGCGCACGAAAGCUCGAUCCGUCGCCUCCAAUGCGUUCGCAAGCAUCUUCUCCACCAACCCUCCAAUUUUUAGAGAGAGAUUUAGAGAGAUGAGAGAGAUCUCUAGAGAGAGAAGGGAGGGUUUCCCUCCCCCUCCAUGCGCGUGUGUGUGUGUGGUGUGUGUGCGGCUGAAGGAGAAGAAGAGGAG
This 10064-nucleotide long non-coding RNA is filed under the name Ananas comosus (pineapple). RNAcentral's name for it is "long non-coding RNA (ACOM_LNC043906)". Lineage: Eukaryota; Viridiplantae; Streptophyta; Magnoliopsida; Poales; Bromeliaceae. The record is from RNAcentral.